CCUACGGGAGGCAGCAGUGGGGGAUAUUGCACAAUGGGGGGAACCCUGAUGCAGCGACGCCGCGUGGGUGAAGGAGCGUUUCGGCGCGUAAAGCCCUAUCGGCAGGGAAGAAGGAGGACGGUACCUGACUAAGAAGCCCCGGCUAACUACGUGCCAGCAGCCGCGGUAAUACGUAGGGGGCAAGCGUUAUCCGGAUUUACUGGGUGUAAAGGGGGCGCAGACGGCAGCGCAAGCCAGGAGUGAAAGCCCGGGGCCCAACCCCGGGACUGCUCUUGGAACUGCGCGGCUGGAGUGCAGGAGGGGCAGGCGGAAUUCCUGGUGUAGCGGUGAAAUGCGUAGAUAUCGGGAGGAACAUCAGUGGCGAAGGCGACUAUCUGGCACAUAACUGACGCUGAGGAGCGAAAGCGUGGGGAGCAAACAGGAUUAGAUACCCUUGUAGUC
RNAcentral lists this ribosomal RNA (441 nucleotides) under uncultured bacterium. RNAcentral's name for it is "partial 16S ribosomal RNA". It matches the Rfam family "Bacterial small subunit ribosomal RNA", at positions 338 to 795 of the family's 1533-position model. The record is from RNAcentral.